UACGAAGGGGGCUAGCGUUGUUCGGAAUUACUGGGCGUAAAGCGCACGUAGGCGGGUUGUUAAGUCAGGGGUGAAAUCCUGGAGCUUAACUCCAGAACUGCCUUUGAUACUGGCAACCUAGAGACUGGAAGAGGUUAGUGGAAUUCCCAGUGUAGAGGUGAAAUUCGUAGAUAUCGUAAGGAAGACCAGUGGCGAAGGCGGGUCUCUGGACAGUUCCUGACGCUGAGGCACGAAGGUCAGGGGAGCAAACGGG
This 253-nucleotide ribosomal RNA is filed under the name uncultured bacterium. RNAcentral's name for it is "partial 16S ribosomal RNA". It matches the Rfam family "Bacterial small subunit ribosomal RNA", at positions 524 to 776 of the family's 1533-position model. The record is from RNAcentral.